GAUGAACGCUAGCGGCAGGCCUAAUAUAUGCAAGUCGAACGGUAAGGCCCUUUCGGGGGUACACGAGUGGCGGACGGGUGCGUAACGCGUAUGCAACAUACCUUCAAGCGGGGAUAUGCCAGGGAAACUUGGUGCAACACCCCAUAGCAUUUCGGGACCGCAUGGUCUUGGGAUUAAAUAUUUAUAGCUUGGAGAUUGGCAUGCGUGACAUUAGCUAGUUGGCGGGUAACGGCCCACCAAGGCGACGAUGUCUAGCUGGUCUGAGAGGAUGAUCAGCCACACUGGGACUGAGACACGGCCCAGACUCCUACGGGAGGCAGCAGUAGGGAAUAUUGGACAAUGGGGGGAACCCUGAUCCAGCCAUGCCGCGUGAGGGAAGAAGGUCCUCUGGAUUGUAAACCUCUUUUGGCGGGGGACAAACCUGCACUAUACGUGCAGCUGAGGUACCCGCAGAAUAAGCACCGGCUAAACUCCGUGCCAGCAGCCGCGGU
Molecule: ribosomal RNA, 491 nt
Filed under: uncultured bacterium
Lineage: Bacteria
Description: bacterial SSU rRNA
Rfam family: Bacterial small subunit ribosomal RNA
Source: RNAcentral